AUUGAACGCUGGCGGCAUGCUUUACACAUGCAAGUCGAAUGGUAACAGGGUGCUUGCACCGCUGACGAGUGGCGAACGGGUGAGUAAUGCGUCGGAACGUGCCGAGUAGUGGGGGAUAACGCAGCGAAAGUUGUGCUAAUACCGCAUACGUACUGAGGUAGAAAGUGGGGGACCUUCGGGCCUCACGCUAUUCGAGCGGCCGACGUCUGAUCAGCUAGUAGGUGAGGUAAAGGCUCACCUAGGCGACGAUCAGUAGCGGGUCUGAGAGGAUGAUCCGCCACACUGGGACUGAGACACGGCCCAGACUCCUACGGGAGGCAGCAGUGGGGAAUUUUGGACAAUGGGCGAAAGCCUGAUCCAGCCAUGCCGCGUGUCUGAAGAAGGCCUUCGGGUUGUAAAGGACUUUUGUCAGGGAGGAAAUCCCUAGUGCUAAUAACACUGGGGGAUGACAGUACCUGAAGAAUAAGCACCGGCUAACUACGUGCCAGCCGCCGCGGUAA
Molecule: ribosomal RNA, 500 nt
Filed under: uncultured bacterium
Lineage: Bacteria
Description: partial 16S ribosomal RNA
Rfam family: Bacterial small subunit ribosomal RNA
Source: RNAcentral